AAGAGAUUCUUUCCAGAGACUGGAAGACCUCCUGUUGGCAUCUUCUGGGAGGAUUACUGCAAUGAAACACCUGGAGGAGCAUGUGCAGUGCCUUGAAGCUGAAAAUGCCAGACUGGAAGGCACAGUCCAGCAGCAAAGUAGGAGAAUUGAAGCCCUUCUGCAAGGCUCAUCCCUGGAGCAGGCAGCUUCCCAGGACAGACUGGAACAGAGCAGAGCCCAUGACCACGAUGCAG
Long non-coding RNA from Calypte anna (Anna's hummingbird), 233 nucleotides. RefSeq lists it as uncharacterized. The transcript is spliced from 3 exons. NCBI's taxonomy places the organism in Eukaryota, Metazoa, Chordata, Aves, Apodiformes, Trochilidae. The record is from RefSeq and is a predicted model, not a curated record.